AGUGGCGCACGGGUGCGUAACGCGUAUGCACCUACCUUAAUCAGGGGGAUAGCCUCUCGAAAGAGAGAUUAACACCGCAUAAACUGGCAUCAGCAAAUAUUUAUAGGAUUAAGAUGGGCAUGCGUGACAUUAGUUUGUUGGUGAGGUAACGGCUCACCAAGACUACAAUGUCUAGGGGAUCUGAGAGGAUGACCCCCCACACUGGUACUGAGACACGGACCACACUCCUACGGGAGGCAGCAGUAAGGAAUAUUGGUCAAUGGGGGCAACCCUGAACCAGCCAUGCCGCGUGCAUGAAGACGGCCUACGGGUUGUAAACUGCUUUUAUACGGGAAUAAACCUCUUUACGUGUAGAGAGUUGAAUGUACUGUAAGAAUAAGGAUCGGCUAACUCCGUGCCAGCAGCCGCGGUAAUACGGAGGAUCCAAGCGUUAUCCGGAUUUAUUGGGUUUAAAGGGUGCGUAGGCGGCCUAUUAAGUCAUGGGUGAGAGACGGUGGCUCAACCAUCGCAGUGCCUUUGAUACUGAUGGGCUUGAUUACACUUGAGGUAGGCGGAAUGUGACAAGUAGCGGUGACAUGCAUAUAUAUGUCACAGAACACUAAUUGCGAAGGCAGCUUACUAAGGUGUUAAUGACGCUGAGGCACGAAAGCGUGGGGAUCAAACAGAAUUAGAUACCUUGCUAGUCCACGCCCA
RNAcentral lists this ribosomal RNA (693 nucleotides) under uncultured bacterium. RNAcentral's name for it is "bacterial SSU rRNA". It matches the Rfam family "Bacterial small subunit ribosomal RNA", at positions 94 to 803 of the family's 1533-position model. The record is from RNAcentral.